This is a non-coding RNA of Gongylonema pulchrum, 73 nucleotides long. Lineage: Eukaryota; Metazoa; Nematoda; Chromadorea; Rhabditida; Gongylonematidae. The record is from Rfam.
GCCGCGAUAGCUCAGUCGGGAGAGCGUUAGACUGAAGAUCUAAAGGUCGCUGGUUCAAUCCCGGCUCGCGGCA